Molecule: transfer RNA, 84 nt
Filed under: Chloroflexota bacterium
Lineage: Bacteria; Bacillati; Chloroflexota
Description: Chloroflexi bacterium (marine metagenome) tRNA-Leu
Rfam family: tRNA
About the family: Transfer RNA (tRNA) molecules are approximately 80 nucleotides in length.
Source: RNAcentral
GCCGACGUGGCGGAAUGGUAGACGCGGCAGAUUUAGGAUCUGUUGCCCGCUCAGGGCGUGGAGGUUCGAGUCCUCUCGUCGGCA